GGGGGGGGGGGGGGGGGGGGGGGGGUAUCCUUUUUUUCUUAAAGCCUGCAAAAAUACUCUACCAAAAAAUGAAACGGGCAAAGGAAAAUAUUAGAGCACAACAAAAGGAAAUAAUAUUCUCUACUGUACACACAAUCACAUAUGGUAUGUAUGUCGAUUUCAAAAACUCGGAGAACCCAAAUAAAAGCUUAAACAAAACUAUGAUACUCAUAUCUUUUUGGCUAAAUGUUGUAAAAAGUGUAUUCCGCAAUUAUAUAUGUAUGUAUGUAGUCCUCGAAAUAAAAUUUAUAUUUUCUUGUAGGAAACAUACAGUACUCGUAGAAAUCACACAACAAAGUCCUCUCACAAAUCCUCGAGACCCAAAAUGGUUUCCUAGACCGGCAAAGAUAAAUUGAACAAGCACAUACUGUUUAACUGUAUAUAUGUAAUUAUAAAUGGAUGUGUGUGUCUUUAACUACUCGACACAUUAACCGUUUACUAACCUUAACCAUAUACAAACUAUACUAACCAUAUACAUAAACCUAAAAAUUCUUUGUGUAGUGGGAGCUAUCCUACCAAGAAUUGUACAUUUUAAAAUGCGAAACCAUUUUCAAGAAACCGAAAACCUACACUAUAGACACAUCUAAACACAUACUAACCAUUGUAUUAACUAAACGGGAAACCAGCAUUAGACUUACUAAAUAUUAUUAUAGCGUAACAACCAAAAUAAAAAAAGAGAAGAGAGAGGAAGAUAAUGAAUGGUAAGGAAAAUGCUUUCAAACUAAAUAAAGUUCGUUGGAACAACAAACAAAAAAAUGAGAUACAACAAAAAUAUAGGUGUUUUAUUAUUGGGCAUCUACAUCAACAUCACCGACUGCAGGUUUGUAGGUAGAAGAGAGGGGAAGAUAAUGAAUGGUUAGAAAAAUGCAUUGAAAGAAAAUUAAGUUGUUUGGAACAACAAACCAAAAAAAAAAAGGGAAGGGACAUGUGAGACGCUUCAUCAAAUUAGAAACUGCAGAGCUCUAGUUUUGUAGGGAUUGUUUAUGCAUAUAUGUAUAUAUAAUAUAUAACUUUAUAUAUAUAACUUUAGAAUGUCAUUAUCUUUAGUGUCCUUGAGUCCAAAUUACGUGCUAGCGAUGAAGCCCAUUUUCCAGUUGAGAGGAGACGUUUCGCGUCCUAUAAGGCUUAACCUUGCGAUUGCAAUAAAAUUGCAGUUUUGUAACCGCCAUGCUAAGCUAAAAGUAUGCACCCAUUUUUUAUGCAAUAACUUAAGUUACAUUCUGCAAAAUAUUGAAGCAUACUUUUAGUUACUUUGCGAAUGAAAAAAUGUGCAGUUUCACAUCGUCCAGCUUUUGACACAGUGAAAAAACAAAAAACCAGCUACCUUUUCCUGAUUUCUGUUAGCCUGGUACUCGAUGUGGAAAUGUUUAGUUUUCGCC
RNAcentral lists this long non-coding RNA (1418 nucleotides) under Drosophila guanche. Lineage: Eukaryota; Metazoa; Arthropoda; Insecta; Diptera; Drosophilidae. The record is from RNAcentral.